This 657-nucleotide long non-coding RNA is filed under the name Monodelphis domestica (gray short-tailed opossum). RNAcentral's name for it is "lncRNA (ENSMODG00000043209.1)". The record is from RNAcentral. Lineage: Eukaryota; Metazoa; Chordata; Mammalia; Didelphimorphia; Didelphidae.
CAAGGUCAUCUGCUGCAUUUUGGGCCAUUGCCAGUCAUCUUGACUUUUUCCUGACACUAGACUUCAAUGACUCUUGAAGAGAGGGUGAGGCUGAUGAUUUUGUGCAACUCUUCCUUAAGUCCAAUUCACAAGCAAAUCAAGAAAUCACUCUUUAAUGUCACUGGUCCUCUUCAAAACAGAAGACAAACAACAUGACUGCUCUGUGGGCUCUAGCCAUUCAACUAAUUUUGAAUACUUCUGCCUGUACCAUUAUCUGAUCAAACCAUUAUAAAACUAUCUGUUAGGGAUUUAAAAAGACCCUUUAAAAAGAUAUUUUAAAAAGCACUGUAUUCCAUGUACCAUUGAAUAUUUGUCAAUAUAAGAAGGAUGGACUCUAUAAAUACCCCAAGAAUAUUGCUCAGGUGUUGUUGAAAAGAACUUAUUCAUGAGACUGAAAUGCUUAUGUCAUGUUGAAGUAGAGGAUGUAAUGAGGGAAAUAGUUCUCCUGGUCCUGAAUCCUACCAGCAGGGAAGAAUUGAUUGCUGAAACAGAAACAAAAGGAAGUCUUCUGAGGCUAAGUGAGUAUUCUGCCUUAAUUCAAUUUCACAUUCAGUUGAUUCUAUUUUACUAGAGAUUUUAAAGUAAAAGAUGGAUGAACAUUUGUGUAUAUUAACAUAA